This 250-nucleotide ribosomal RNA is filed under the name uncultured bacterium. RNAcentral's name for it is "partial 16S ribosomal RNA". It matches the Rfam family "Bacterial small subunit ribosomal RNA", at positions 524 to 773 of the family's 1533-position model. The record is from RNAcentral.
UACAGAGGGUGCAAGCGUUAAUCGGAAUUACUGGGCGUAAAGCGCACGUAGGUGGAUAUUUAAGUCGGAAGUGAAAGCCCUGGGCUUAACCUGGGAAUUGCCUCCGAUACUGGAUAUCUAGAGUAUGGUAGAGGAUAGUGGAAUUUCCGGUGUAGCGGUGAAAUGCGUAGAUAUCGGAAGGAACACCAGUGGCGAAGGCGGCUAUCUGGACCAAUACUGACACUUAGGUGCGAAAGCGUGGGGAGCAAAC